AGUCGAACGAAGUAGCAAUACUUAGUGGCAGACGGGUGAGUAACAUGUAGGUAUCUGCCCUUUGGCCUGGAAUAACACGAGGAAACUUGUGCUAAUACCGGAUAAGUCUUUACGGAGAAAGCUUUAUGCACCAUUGGAUGAGCCUGCACUUGAUUAGUUUGUUGGUGGGGUAAUGGCCUACCAAGACUGUGAUCAAUAGCUGAUUUGAGAGGAUGAUCAGCCACAUUGGGACUGAGACACGGCCCAAACUCCUACGGGAGGCAGCAGUGGGGAAUCUUGCACAAUGGAGGAAACUCUGAUGCAGCGAUGCCGCGUGAGUGAAGAAGGCCCUUGGGUUGUAAAGCUCUUUCGUCGGGGAAGAAAAUGACUGUACCCGAAUAAGAAGGUCCGGCUAACUUCGUGCCAGCAGCCGCGGUAAUACGAAGGGACCUAGCGUAGUUCGGAAUUACUGGGCUUAAAGAGUUCGUAGGUGGUUGAAAAAGUUAGUGGUGAAAUCCCAGAGCUUAACUCUGGAACUGCCAUUAAAACUUUUCAGCUAGAGUAUGAUAGAGGAAAGCAGAAUUUCUAGUGUAGAGGUGAAAUUCGUAGAUAUUAGAAAGAAUACCAAUUGCGAAGGCAGCUUUCUGGAUCAUUACUGACACUGAGGAACGAAAGCAUGGGUAGCGAAGAGGAUUAGAUACCCUCGUAGUCCAUGCCGUAAACGAUGUGUGUUAGACGUUGGAAAUUUAUUUUCAGUGUCGCAGGGAAACCGAUAAACACACCGCCUGGGGAGUACGACCGCAAGGUUAAAACUCAAAUGAAUUGACGGGGACCCGCACAAGUAGUGGAGCAUGUGGUUUAAUUCGAAGAUACGCGCAGAACCUUACCAACACUUGACAUGUUCGUCGCGACUCUAAGAGAUUAGAGUUUUCGGUUCGGCCGGACGAAACACAGGUGCUGCAUGGCUGUCGUCAGCUCGUGUCGUGAGAUGUUGGGUUAAGUCCCGCAACGAGCGCAACCCUCACUUUUAGUUGCCAUCAUUAAGUUGGGCACUCUGAAAGAACUGCCAGUGAUAAGCUGGAGGAAGGUGGGGAUGACGUCAAGUCCUCAUGGCCCUUACGUGUUGGGCUACACACGUGCUACAAUGGUAUCUACAACAGGAAGCAAGACUGCGAAGUUAAGCAAAUCCCUAAAAGAUACCUCAGUUCGGAUUGCACUCUGCAACUCGAGUGCAUGAAGCUGGAAUUACUAGUAAUCGUGGAUCAGCGUGCCACGGUGAAUGCGUUCCCGGGUCUUGUACACACCGCCCGUCACACCAUGGGAGUUGGUUCUACCUUAAGGCAAGGUUUUAA
RNAcentral lists this ribosomal RNA (1331 nucleotides) under uncultured Pelagibacterales bacterium. Its description in RNAcentral is "bacterial SSU rRNA". It matches the Rfam family "Bacterial small subunit ribosomal RNA", at positions 60 to 1438 of the family's 1533-position model. Lineage: Bacteria; Pseudomonadati; Pseudomonadota; Alphaproteobacteria; Candidatus Pelagibacterales. The record is from RNAcentral.